UCGCCUCCGCUUCGGUCUCGUGGCUUCUGGAGUCUUCUAGAUGUAAGAUAAUUGCGCGGCACGUUAAUAUCUUUAUGUAAUCCCGACGUGUGGGCCUUUCUUCCUUAUUUCCUGAUAACCCCCUGCAGAAAUAGACAAACACCAAAACUCGUGGAAUUCUGUCAGAUAAAACCCUAAGUCUAGAUGUUGAUUUCAUUUGGAUCCUUUUCUUUAUUUAUUUGAUAAUUAAAUUGGAUACUUAAGGACCGUCAACAUCUGCCCAAAUUAAGCUUCCAGUCUCUUAAGCGUGCGAUCCUAUGGGUUCACGUACAUAUAGACAUAGGCCGAGUACUCCUAUUCGCCCAAUAGUUGAUAGCAGCCUCUAGCAAGGCAUGACAACUCCUAUACGCAUGGAAAGAUCAUAUCAAACGAACCACUACAAACACAUACAUGUUAUUCUCUUGCCACACGAUAUUUGGUCCAACUCGUAGGUUAACACUUAACCCAAGCACGGCCAUGCAUUUGUUGAUCCAAUCACUUGAGUGAUCCAGUGAUAUCUCUCUCACAUAGAGAGAGAGGCAAGUUCCAUCUUGAUUAUCUAUUUCUCAUAGCAUGUUUUACAACAAACCCAAAGACCACCUUUAUAACUAUCCUGUUACGGAGUAGCAUUUAAUUGUCCCUAAGUAGGUCAUUUCACAUCUUGAGAACAUAUGAAAAUCUCAGGUCUAAGGACAUAGCAUACAUGAUGCAUAAAGAGAUAAUAAGGACAUCUCACAUUGGGUCACUCCAGCCCAUGUCAUACAUAUGCCCACAUUAUUAGUUUGACAUCUCUAUAUUUAUGACUUGUGAAACAUAAUCAUCAACUAAUACUUGUGAUAAUCUAAUGCUCAUGUGUGUCCUCACACGAACUCUAAUCAGGGACAACUUUAAAAUAACCAUACAAGUAAAAGAGUUUCACAAACAAUUCACGUAAUUGUUAAUCGAUACAAGUUUGUCUAUAAUAUAUAUUCAUUGAACUCAUUAUAUAUGUCAUGGAUACAAUUAUAAUAUCAUCAUCUCUAUGAUUACCUCUAGGGCAUAUUCCCAACAGCGGCACCCUUGCAAAUCUUUUUAGGUUGAGGAGCCCUCAAAGCUUAGUUGGUUUGUGAGCUAUACUAAAUUGUUUCCUACAAUGAUCCUCUUGUAAAUCUCUGGGGAUUCUUAUGGCUAAUAGAUGGUAGAUGACCUGCGAUGUAGUAUGGAUUUGACCAAUGUCUUUCUACCAGAUGUAGUGAUUAGGUGUCCUAUCUGUUUUGCUAGACGUGUGUUCGCUUUGUCUGCUAGAGGUGAAAAUCAUCUUUCUUCAAGCGUCAUAAGGUUAGAGCAAUCCUAGAUAAUUGAUUGGGAAGGCAAGAUGUGUCGCAUGAAAACCAUGUAGGAUUAUCUAGAGAUCAAACCCUUCACAUUGGAUGGCUGCCACCAUGAUCUUUGCAAUGUUUGUGCAUAAUCUUUCAAAAAUUUCCAUGAUAACUGAUAUAGCUUUGGCAUCUCAUGCUUUGUGCAUUAGAAAGAUAACCGCAUCACCUACAUAAUGGGACAGAUGCAGACAUGCCAUUUUACCACACAACUUGGAGAUAAGGCCCUUAUCUAUUGCUUAAUCAAAUGAAUUUUUCAUUCGGUCCAUAGCAAGGAUGAAAAAGGAGUGAAAAAAAUAUGAUCACUGCGCCGCAAGCCUUAGUCAUUUUGUAUGUUCUCCUUUGGCACAUAGUUAAGAAGGAUUUUGGAAAGAACCGGUGCUCUCUCAUUUUCUCACCUAAUCACAAAACAUUCACAUAGUACUCUAUAAUCUUUACUAAGCAUGUGAACACGUGUGACAGAUUUGGAUUACCAAUUGUAUUCUAGAUGUUCUUCAUCUUAAAUUCAUUGUUUUACAUUUUAAUGUGCGUUGAUCACGUGUUGAGUUGAAGCCUUUGUUUGAGCUAAGUUGAUUCUUAUUGUGGCCCAUCAUAUCUAUGGUGACUUCUAACUUUAAGUUUAGCUUCCCAAUUUCAAUCUUACCACAAUUUAUAAGAGAAUUAUUUCCUCAUAUGUUAAAUUAAAAGCUUAACGGUUGUUGUAGCACUUAAUUCUAGACCUAAUUUUAAUUUUAUUAAUGAUAUCAAUUUGUAACAUUAUGUCUUAUAUUUCACAUAAAAAAUAAACAAUCAUAUAAUAGGGGAAAAUAACAUAGACAGAUAUAAUGCAAACAACAUAAAAUACAUCAUACAACAUCUCAUAGGUACUAUGUAAACAAGAGAAAAUACACCAUGGAACAUCUUAAGUGAAUAACCAAAAAACCAUCAUCUCAUGGAUAUUUUAUUAGAAUAUUGAUAAAUGCACCAUGUGUUGAUGAUAUGAAUACUAUGAAAAAACAAUCUCAAUAUUAUAGGAAUAAUCUAGAAUACAACACAUAACAUCUCACUGAUACUACGUGAAACACCAAAAAACAAUAUAGAACAUCUGAUAGGUACUAUACAAACAUUGCACAACACAACAUGCAUGUAUGGAACAUGGAUAUUUUGAAAACAAAAUUAGAAUGUACAUCAUGGAACACCUUUUUAAAUACAGCUCAUAUAUAUAGUAACAAUAGUCUUAUUAUAUUAUUGAAUAAAUAUUUCAAUACAUUAUUUUCAAGAGAGGGCACAUAAAAUAAAGUAACGAAGAGAUAAAAUAGUAACUAAAAAUAAAAAAAGAAUCUACAAGAAACGAAAUAGGAAACAAGAGAAAAAAUCAAAGUGAAAUGGUAAAAAUGUAGAUAGAAAAGAAAAAUAAAAUAAAAUAAAAAUAAGAAAAAAAAUGAAAAAUGAAAAAUGUAAACAAGGAGAAAAUAGGAAAGAAUAGAUGUAAAAAUGAUAUAAAUAAAUAGAUAAGAAAAAUGAAAAAAAAUAAAAAAAAUAAAAGGAUAUGAAAAAAGAAAAUAAAGAAUAAGAAUAAGAAGAAAAAAAAAAGAAAUACUCAAUCACGCACAUACGUGAAACCUAAUAGCCCUACUGCUUUCGGUCCAAUAAAGGCCCAAUAUAUAAUACCAUAAAUUCUAACCUUACUCCGUUUAGACCUCACUGAAGAAUUCAGGUCAAGCAACCAUAGCAGCAGUGGCCCAUUAUGAAGAUUGCAAUUACUUGGGAGCAUCUGUCCUGGUGGCGGCAUGGCAAUCGGACCCUUCUAGACGAUGGAGGUAGUGACAUGCCAUAAAGGUCUCACGCUGACCAGUGACCUCGGUUUGCACUCUUUUAGAGUUGCUAGCGAUUGUGCCAAUGCGGUGAGGAGUUUACUAGGCGAGGGGUUCGACACGUUUAGACCAAUUGUCCACGAGAUAAAUGUAAGAAGGAGUUUCACUAAAGCGGAUUUCAUCUUUGAAGGACGAAAGGUCAAAUGUCGACGCCCAUAUAUUAGCUAGAAGCUCUUUAAAUUUAUGGAUAGGUAGACAUGUUUGGUUUUUUAAGCUUCUGGAUGGAGUUUGUAAUUCUUAUCCUACUGAAUAAAUAAAGUCAGUGUUCCCCUAAAAAGAUUUAUUGCAAUAAAUUUAAUUUACCUCUCUCAAUUAGAAAAUUGGUUUCUAGACUCUUCAAUUAUUGAAAUCAUCCAAUUUGUCUCCUUAAGCCGUUUUGAGAGUGGUUUUAGCUGAUGUGGUGCAAUGUCAGCCAUUGAUGGUGCCAAGUCAGCCACGAGGGAGGUAAAUCAUACUUUUGUGAUAGUUUAAUGAUGUUAAUUAGUAUUUAGAAGAUAUAGGAAUAUAUUUUUUUUCAAAAACAACUAAAUGUUUUUUCUAAAAUAAAUAUAGAUUUAAAAAAUACUAAAAUCUGAAUUAAUAUUAGAAAAUGUGUUUUAACUAAAAAAAUAUCAAGUCAAUCAUGCUAAAAAAGUUUGAAGCAAUUAGUGUUAAAAAGUUAUCCGAAUAAUUGUCUAGAUUGAAUAUGUAUUUAAAAUAUGAAAAAUUUUAUAUAAUAUUAGAAAAAUUAAUUAGUUCAACACAGAAAAUGAAACCAGUUUUAUAUUCUUCUAAAAUCACGAUCUAUAUUUUUUGAAGCUAGGUACCUUAAUCUGCAUGUACAAAUGGACAACAGUAAUGACGAACAAGGACACGGUCAUUCAAAUGUUGUUGGUCAAGUCACAUUAGUCAACUCGGGAGGCUAAGUGGCAUGCGACUGCUAUUAAUGGUCAAUCUACACACACCAUUGUUGGGAUGUUGCCUCAAGAAGACAAUGAUGCUACAAAGUUUGCAAAAUAUGCAAUAAGAGUUUGAAUUAUACGUUUUAUUUGGAUUUUUACAUGCAUGUCGUGAUAGUUAAGCAAGACAAAGUUUAUGUUUUUAGUUCGUAUGGAGGGUUGCACGACGAUUCACACUAUGGUCCACAAGAGUUUAUCUUAGUCUAUAUCUUCCAUUUAAUAUUUGUCUCAAUUUCAAAAUUUAGAAGAUCAUAUAAGAUCAAACUAUUUCUAAGAAAGAAAAAAAAGGUAGAGCAUAAUCUAUAUCUAUAUCUAUACUUACUAAUAAAUUGUGAAAAUUUCAGACUGAAAUUUUCUUCUGCCCCCGUCUCUACCAGAAUCGUCUCCGUCCGUUGAAGGCUUGUAGGAGAGAAAAAGAAAAUAGAAUAUUUUUUUGCUGGAGAUGCAUGCCUAUGCUUUUUAGUGUAAAAUUUAAAUUAUACUAUCUUGCUCCAAUUAUUAUAAAAAAUUUAUGGUAGCCUAUUUAAUAUGAUGCUUGAUUUGUGGUAAAAGUUUUAGCACCAUUCCUGCAUAUCUCACUGAUUUACUAAUUUACCUAAAUUUAUGCUUGCUAAAUAGUUUAGCAUCAAUUUAAGUGUGUAAAAAUAUAAAAUAGAUACUUCCACUACCUUGGCACGAUGUGUUGUUAUAUCAUAUGAACACUUCAUAAUUAAGCCCAUAUAUUUAUAAUCUACAUACAUUUAACUGAUAUAUCAUAUUUUAUAGGAAUCCUAAUCUAAAUAAACAAAUAAAGCUAGCAACAAACUUCUCAUGUUUUAAUAUAAUACUAUUAUUAUUAUUAAAUAAAUAUGUCCCCAAGCUACAUAAUAUUGUAAAUAUUAACUAUCUCAUACCAU
RNAcentral lists this long non-coding RNA (5060 nucleotides) under Sorghum bicolor (sorghum). RNAcentral's name for it is "long non-coding RNA (SBIC_LNC010973)". Lineage: Eukaryota; Viridiplantae; Streptophyta; Magnoliopsida; Poales; Poaceae. The record is from RNAcentral.